RNAcentral lists this ribosomal RNA (363 nucleotides) under Triticum aestivum (bread wheat). RNAcentral describes it as "partial small subunit ribosomal RNA". Lineage: Eukaryota; Viridiplantae; Streptophyta; Magnoliopsida; Poales; Poaceae. The record is from RNAcentral.
AUGGCCGUCGUCUGGUUCAGGUGCUACCUCCGGCUGUUGGACAAUCAGGCGCUGGAGUGCGCGUUGGUGGCCUCUGGCACGGUCUUCACCAACGGCAGGGGCUCGCCGACGCUGCAGUGCUGCAAGGCGGUGGUCGGGGUGAUCUGCACCAGCGUCGACUGUGUGUGCCUCAUCCUCACCGGCAACAUGGCCUUUGGCCUCCCCAUCAACAACCGCACUGUCGCCAUCUCCCUUCCCAAGAUCUGCAAGUCACUCUCCGUCCCGCUCGUUUGUAGAGAUACAGCGGCGCAGAUCCCAGCUCCAGAUUUUCGACAAUCAUGGAAAUCGCUUUGGGACCCCAAAACGGUGAGUAAUAGUCCAUGA